UAUUUCCUGCAGCGUUCGAGGGUCGCUGGGUUACUUCUUGAGCCUAAUGACAAACCCCGGGAGCUUUAGAACCUCGAUGUGCGCAGGUCCGCCAUGAGCGGAAAGCCUGAUUCACGGUUCGCUGAUCCCACCUGAACCUCUGGUUCAAGGGCGAAAGCGCCCCACGGCGCAGGCGGGAAAUAC
Molecule: non-coding RNA, 183 nt
Filed under: Methylococcus sp.
Lineage: Bacteria; Pseudomonadati; Pseudomonadota; Gammaproteobacteria; Methylococcales; Methylococcaceae
Description: 6S RNA
Rfam family: 6S / SsrS RNA
About the family: E. coli 6S RNA was the first non coding RNA to be sequenced, but its function was unknown until recently. It consists of 184 nucleotides that fold into an extended hairpin structure with a large single-stranded internal bulge. The 6S RNA specifically associates with RNA polymerase holoenzyme containing the sigma70 specificity factor.
Source: RNAcentral